AUGAGGUUUGACACUUUGGAAGGUGCCAGAGAGCACUACAAUGCUUAUGCUUUUCAAAAGGGUUUUUCAAUCAAAAUGAACACUUCAAGGAGGUCUGUUAUCAUUGGUCAAAUGGAGAAGUAUCAAUUUGUCUGCAACAAGUUCAGGAAACCAAAAAAUGAAGACACGGGUGGUAAGACUGCAGACCCUUGUGGAGUUGAAGAUCCCCGUGGAGGUGCAGAUGAUGAUGAUGGAGAAGACAAUGUUAUCAUAUUUGUUGAUGAUGCUGCUGAACAAAAGAAGAAGACCAAGAAACGGAAAAGAGAGAAAAUAAUACCGACAGGGUGCAAAGCCAAGAUGAUAGUAAAAUUCAUUGAUGGUCGGUGGGAGGUGACUUAUUACAUUUCUGAGCAUAACCAUCCAUUGGUUGACAAACCAUCUUUAUCUAAAUAUUUGCGGUCACACCAAGGCAUUCCUGCAGAAGAGAGGUUGUUUCUGACAAACCUUCAUAACUGCAACUUGAGUUCAGGGCGAAUGAUGCACAUUAUGUCAGAGUACUAUGGCACAUAG
RNAcentral lists this ribosomal RNA (549 nucleotides) under Triticum aestivum (bread wheat). Its description in RNAcentral is "partial small subunit ribosomal RNA". The record is from RNAcentral. Lineage: Eukaryota; Viridiplantae; Streptophyta; Magnoliopsida; Poales; Poaceae.